This 84-nucleotide microRNA precursor is filed under the name Bombyx mori (domestic silkworm). RNAcentral describes it as "mir-2807 microRNA precursor family". It matches the Rfam family "mir-2807 microRNA precursor family". Lineage: Eukaryota; Metazoa; Arthropoda; Insecta; Lepidoptera; Bombycidae. The record is from Rfam by way of RNAcentral.
UUAAUUCAAAAUUGUAUGGAGCUGGAGAGGUUGCCUACGCUUGCCGCUUGGGGCGCUGUUCCAACUGUAUACAAAGUUUAGUUA